This 213-nucleotide long non-coding RNA is filed under the name Eucalyptus grandis. RNAcentral describes it as "long non-coding RNA (EGRA_LNC003804)". The record is from RNAcentral. Lineage: Eukaryota; Viridiplantae; Streptophyta; Magnoliopsida; Myrtales; Myrtaceae.
GUUAAUCUAAUAAUUUUUCGAAAACAACUCUCCUUAUUCAUUUUGUAAAAAAAUUCAAUGCUUCAAUAUACGAUUGUGAAAUGACUUACAUGAUAAUGCUUUAAAGGGACUUAAUUACAUUCUCCAAUCUUUUCAGCAUCAAAAUCCACUAUUUUGGACGUUCAGCCUCAUGACGAUGGCGAACUUGCCGACGGUCAUGGCACUGGCCCUCAU